Molecule: ribosomal RNA, 169 nt
Filed under: Peptoniphilus sp. enrichment culture DGGE band BES-CAP-4
Lineage: Bacteria; Bacillati; Bacillota; Tissierellia; Tissierellales; Peptoniphilaceae
Description: partial 16S ribosomal RNA
Rfam family: Bacterial small subunit ribosomal RNA
Source: RNAcentral
CCUACGGGAGGCAGCAGUGGGGGAUAUUGCACAAUGGGCGCAAGCCUGAUGCAGCGACGCCGCGUGAGGGAAGAAGGUUUUCGGAUUGUAAAGCUCUGUCCUAUGGGAAGAUAAUGACGGUACCAUAGGAGGAAGCCCCGGCUAACUACGUGCCAGCCGCCGCGGUAAU